This 336-nucleotide unclassified non-coding RNA is filed under the name soil metagenome. Its description in RNAcentral is "partial contains 5.8S ribosomal RNA, internal transcribed spacer 2, and large subunit ribosomal RNA". The stretch from base 1 to 120 matches the Rfam family "5.8S ribosomal RNA", at positions 35 to 154 of the family's 154-position model. The record is from RNAcentral.
GAUGAAGAACGUAGCGAAAUGCGAUAAGUAAUGUGAAUUGCAGAAUUCAGUGAAUCAUCGAAUCUUUGAACGCACAUUGCGCCCGCCAGUAUUCUGGCGGGCAUGCCUGUUCGAGCGUCAUUUCAACCAUCAAGCCCCCGGCUUGUGUUGGGGACCUGCGGCUGCCGCAGGCCCUGAAAAGCAGUGGCGGGCUCGCUGUCACACCGAGCGUAGUAGCAUACAUCUCGCUCUGGGCGUGCUGCGGGUUCCGACCGUUAAACCACCUUCAUAACCCAAGGUUGACCUCGGAUCAGGUAGGAAGACCCGCUGAACUUAAGCAUAUCAAUAAGCGGAGGA